This 341-nucleotide ribosomal RNA is filed under the name Chymomyza bicolor. RNAcentral's name for it is "eukaryotic LSU rRNA". The record is from RNAcentral. Lineage: Eukaryota; Metazoa; Arthropoda; Insecta; Diptera; Drosophilidae.
GCCCGAUGAACCUGAAUAUCCAUUAUGGGAAAUUCAUCAUUAAAAUUGUAAUAUUUAAAAAAUAUUAUAAUGAUAGUGUGCAUUUUUCCCAUAUAAGGACAUUGUAAUCUAUUAAUAUNNUUNAUUUAUCAUAAAAUAUGACUUAUAGUUUAUUUUUAUUAUUAUGCUUGCAUUUUAACAUAAAAUAAAUGUCAUUCAAUUUGAUAAAGUAUUGAUAGAUUUAUAUGAAAUACAAUGCGUUAAUUUUUCGAAAUUAUAUAAUGGCAUAAUUAUCAUUGAUUUUUGUGUUUAUUAUAUGCAUUUGUAUGAUUAACAAUGCGAAAGAUUCAGGAUACUUCGGG